This 253-nucleotide ribosomal RNA is filed under the name uncultured bacterium. RNAcentral describes it as "partial 16S ribosomal RNA". It matches the Rfam family "Bacterial small subunit ribosomal RNA", at positions 524 to 776 of the family's 1533-position model. The record is from RNAcentral.
UACAGAGGUCCCGAGCGUUGUUCGGAUUCACUGGGCGUAAAGCGCACGUAGGCGGCUUGUUAAGUCAGGGGUGAAAUCCUGGAGCUCAACUCCAGAACUGCCUUUGAUACUGAAGAUCUUGAGUCCGGGAGAGGUGAGUGGAACUGCGAGUGUAGAGGUGAAAUUCGUAGAUAUUCGCAAGAACACCAGUGGCGAAGGCGGCUCACUGGCCCGGUACUGACGCUGAGGCACGAAAGCGUGGGGAGCAAACAGG